CUUCUAGAUAAACUAUUAAAGACAACAAGACAUAUUAUUAUGAUGUCAAUAACAGUGUUACGUUUGGGAUUUGACGUAAGCAACAGUCAACAACUUCGGAAAAAUGUGAAAACAAUUUAUCUUACUUUCGAUGUUCAAUGACUUAUCAUACAAAUACACAUUCGCUAGAAUUUUCAAGCACUGGUGAUGGCUAAUGAAAGAAACGUUGACUGGAAAGAACGGCUUAUAAUACAUUCUAUACACGUAGUACAGGUACCUACAUAGUUAUGCGUUCUAUCUGGUAAGUUAUAGCAGUUGUUACGUAUUUACGACGUUAAUGCCGACGUGGUCGAGAAAACUGUAAAGGG
Molecule: long non-coding RNA, 347 nt
Organism: Aphis gossypii (cotton aphid)
Lineage: Eukaryota; Metazoa; Arthropoda; Insecta; Hemiptera; Aphididae
Exons: 3
Source: RefSeq, a predicted model, not a curated record